AUUGAACGCUGGCGGCAGGCUUAACACAUGCAAGUCGAACGAGUGGCGGACGGGUGAGUAAUGCUUGGGAAUCUAGCUUAUGGAGGGGGAUAACUACGGGAAACUGUAGCUAAUACCGCGUACCAUAGGAUGAGCCCAAUGGGGAUUAGGUAGUUGGUGAGGUAAAGGCUCACCAAGCCGACGAUCUCUAGCUGGUCUGAGAGGAUGACGAUCCAACCUGUGACUGAGACACGGCCCAGACUCCUACGUGAGGCAGCAGUGGGGAAUAUUGCGAAAUGGGGGCAACCUGACGCAGCCAUGCCGCGUGAAUGAAGAAGGCCUUCGGGUUUUAAAGUUCUUUCGGUAGCGAGGCGUUAACUACAGAAGAAGCACCGGCUAACUCCGUGCCAGCAGCCGCGGUAAUAC
RNAcentral lists this ribosomal RNA (405 nucleotides) under uncultured bacterium. Its description in RNAcentral is "partial 16S ribosomal RNA". It matches the Rfam family "Bacterial small subunit ribosomal RNA", at positions 30 to 526 of the family's 1533-position model. The record is from RNAcentral.